Molecule: ribosomal RNA, 267 nt
Filed under: uncultured bacterium
Lineage: Bacteria
Description: partial 16S ribosomal RNA
Rfam family: Bacterial small subunit ribosomal RNA
Source: RNAcentral
AACGAACGCUGGCGGCGUGCCUAACACAUGCAAGUCGAGCGAGAAAAAGGGGGGCGAACUCCCUCGAGUACAGCGGCGCACGGGUGAGUAACACGUAGGUGAUCUCCCUCCGAGCCCGGAACUAACCUACCGAAAGGUGGGCUAAUACCGGAUAUGACCACGGAAGCCACGCUUCUGCGGUGAAAGAUGGCCUCUACCUGUAAGCUAUCACUCAAGGAUGAGCCUGCGUGCCAUUAGCUAGUUGGCGAGGUAACGGCUCACCAAGGC